Molecule: ribosomal RNA, 109 nt
Filed under: Xenopus laevis (African clawed frog)
Lineage: Eukaryota; Metazoa; Chordata; Amphibia; Anura; Pipidae
Description: partial 28S ribosomal RNA
Rfam family: Eukaryotic large subunit ribosomal RNA
Source: RNAcentral
CAACUGUGAAGAGACAUGAGAGGUGUAGGAUAAGUGGGAGGCCCCCGCGCUCGUCGCAAAGGGGCGCCGCCGGUGAAAUACCACUACUCUUAUCGUUUUUUCACUUACC